Molecule: long non-coding RNA, 337 nt
Filed under: Gopherus agassizii (Agassiz's desert tortoise)
Lineage: Eukaryota; Metazoa; Chordata; Testudines; Testudinidae
Description: lncRNA (ENSGAGG00000000098.1)
Source: RNAcentral
CUGUGGCUGGGUAACGCUAGUGCCCAUCCGUCAUGGCUGAUCUCUCCCCCCUCCUGGUAGGACCAUGACCACCAGAGUAUGAGGAGCUGUCUGAGGGUGAAGCCGCUGGAGAUACAGAAACGCCUGGAGGGGAAACGUCAGGAGCUGCUGGAGCACUGCUGGGGGGAGCUGCGGGGCAAGGACCCACAGAAACAGGAGGCCCUGGAGGAGCUGAAGCAGGAGCUGGACAGGCAGAUGGACAAGUUCCUGCUAGUCUACAAGGAGCGCUUUAAAAAGAUGGAGGUAAACAAGAGAGCAGCAGAAGACACCAGGAGGGACUACGAACAAUUUGUGCAGG